GACGAACGCUGGCGGCGUGCUUAACACAUGCAAGUCGAACGGAAAGGCCCUGCUUUUGUUGGGUGCUCGAGUGGCGAACGGGUGAGUAACACGUGAGUAACCUGCCCUUUACUUUGGGAUAACUUCAGGAAACUGGGGCUAAUACCUGAUAGGAGCUCCUGCUGCAUGGUGGGGGUUGGAAAGUUUCGGCGGUUGGGGAUGGACUCGCGGCUUAUCAGCUUGUUGGUGGGGUAGUGGCUUACCAAGGCUUUGACGGGUAGCCGGCCUGAGAGGGUGACCGGCCACAUUGGGACUGAGAGACGGCCCAGACGCAUACGGGAGGCAGCAGUGGGGAAUAUUGUACAAUGGGCGGAAGCCUGAUGAAGAAACGCCGCGUGCGGGAUGACGGCCUUCGGGUUGUAAACCGCUUUCGCCUGUGACGAAGCGUGAGUGACGGUAAUGGGUAAAGAAGCACCGGCUAACUACGUG
This 468-nucleotide ribosomal RNA is filed under the name uncultured bacterium. RNAcentral's name for it is "partial 16S ribosomal RNA". It matches the Rfam family "Bacterial small subunit ribosomal RNA", at positions 28 to 507 of the family's 1533-position model. The record is from RNAcentral.